Molecule: long non-coding RNA, 650 nt
Filed under: Mytilus galloprovincialis (Mediterranean mussel)
Lineage: Eukaryota; Metazoa; Mollusca; Bivalvia; Mytilida; Mytilidae
Source: RNAcentral
UGGUGUUUAAUUGCAGCUAACCCAAGGCGCUUAAGUUCCUUUGACAUACCCUUGUAGGAUUUACAGGAUUUUUUGAAUAUAUCUUCAUUGCAAAUGUCUAUGUCCCUACACUUCUGGAUAUGUCUGUUUAAACCUUGUCUAUAGGCCUGCAUAGUUGUCUUUUUAUAAAGUUCCCCCCCCUCACUUCUCAUUUCCAAAUAAAAUGAGGCCAAUGUAUUGUCCAGUUGCUCCACAGUGUAUUGUUCGAAUUCUAUCGGCUUACUUUUCUCGGUCAAAUAUUCCCUGAAUAGUUUGACUGCUGUGGUUUUCUGCUUUUUUGUGUUUUUUGUUUCUAUAUUUUUCAUUAUAUCGUCCCUUUCAUUUGAUUCAGGGACACGAAUCUACUAAGGAUGACGGGGUAUAGAAAUAUGGUCACUUGUUCUCCCGACCGUCAGUAAAACGCUUGCCGAAGUGGGGCGUCCGUUUACUUGUGCGGGAUGUAUCAAGUUCGCAGUCACGUCCGGUCAGAAGGGGGACGUUAAAUCCGAUGCCUCGUGUAAAGAGAGUGCUACGCUCUUUGCACGUUAGGAACCCUUGCAACAACUCUUUGAGGGGUCCUUAGGUGGCCUGUUGCAAGGCAACAUUUUUGUCCCUAUCCAACAUACCCUUAU